Molecule: long non-coding RNA, 1685 nt
Organism: Eriocheir sinensis (Chinese mitten crab)
Lineage: Eukaryota; Metazoa; Arthropoda; Malacostraca; Decapoda; Varunidae
Exons: 3
Source: RefSeq, a predicted model, not a curated record
GAGAGGCAAGGGUGGGUAGGUAUGGAGGGAGACUCGUGUAUACCCGGAGAGUGUUGGUUUAGGUGGUAAACAUAGCGGAAUAGGGCUGCACUCGUGUCCUGUUCUCAUUCAACUUUACUCUCGGAGCGCUGUUGUCUGUAUAUAGGGAAGGAGUGGGUAGGGGAGACUUUCGUAUAGCUAGGGAGUGCUGGUGAAGGUGUAAACAAAGCGGAAUAGGGCUGCACUCGUGUCCUGUUCUCAUUCAACUUACACUCAUAGCGUUGUUGUGUGUAUAUGGGGAAGGAGUGCAGUACGAGGCAAGGGUGAGUGGGGGGGACUUUCGUAUAGCUAGAGGGUGUUGGUGGAGGUGUAAACAUUGCGGAAUAGGGCUGUACUUGUGUCCUGUUCGCAUUCAACUUUACACUCAUAGCUCUGUAGUGUGUAUAUAGAGAGUGCGUUACGAGGAGAGCAAGGGAUAGGGGAGACUUGUAUAGCCAGAGUGUUUGAGCGGGACUGAGCUGAACUCGUGUCGCGGUUUCAAUCAACUUAUAUAUUAACAAACUGCGCAGUGAGUGUGUAUAGCGGCGGAGUGCGUGUCAGUUGGUGAAGUGCUGGUAGAGGUGCCAACAUAGAAAAAUUUAGCUACACCGUGUCUUCUUUUCGUUCAACUUAAAUUUAUCGCGCUGUGUUUGUAUAUACGUUGCAAUGGCGUGCGUGUGCCUAGUUGGUGCGGGUACAAAGGGAGCUACUCUUGUUUUCGUGAAGGUCUGUUUUUCCUCUAAUUAAUACACAGAGAAUGGCUAGAUUUCUGUCCUUUUCUUUCUUGUUUCCGUGUAUAUAGGUCUGCUUUCGUCCAAUUAAGACAGACGCAAAGGUUAGAUGUUCCUGUUUUCAUCCAAUUAGCGCAUAGAGAAAGGCUUCAUUUUUUGUCCCUUCGUUCUUGUUUUCGUGUAUAUAGGUCUGUUUUCGUCCAAUUAGCGCAUAGAGAAAGGCUUCAUUUUUUGUCCCUUCGUUCUUGUUUUCGUGUAUAUAGGUCUGUUUUCGUCCAAUUAGCGCAUAGAGAAAGGCUUCAUUUUUUGUCCCUUCGCUCUUGUUUUCGUGUAUAUAGGUCUGUUUUCAUCCAAUUAGCGCAUACAGAAAGGCUUCAUUUUUUGUCCCUUCGUUCUUGUUUCCGUGUAAAUAGGUCUGUUUUCGUCCAAUUAAGACAGACACAAAGACUGGAUUUCUGUUCUUUUUCUUUAUAUCGAGCAAAAUGAACUCCUCGACGUAAACAGACUGCAGUGAAAAACAAAUUAGGGCUAAAUUAUCUAGUUAUUUGUAUAUAUAAAUGAAAUCAGCUUGUUCUCGUGUAUGAUAAAGGUCUGGGUGAUAACAACGCUUCCUAUAUUUUCCUUUGCCCCUUUACCAUCACCUAAAACACCUGCAGUAUCUGUUUUAUCAUCAGCUUGGUUUUUAGUAAUUAGAAAACAGGGAAUUGACUUGUUGCGUGGUCUUUCAAACGCAGGAUUACUGUAGUCGUUCCCAUUCAUUUAAUACAUGUAGGGAGGGAAGAUUUAUGUGUCCUGUCAUUCUUGGUAUAAUCACACACACACACACAUUCUCAAGAGCAAUAUGUCCUUCUGUUAUAGUUCUUUCCAUCCACUUAAUAAACGUAGGGAGGCAAGAUUUCUGUGCCCUCUCAUUCUUGCUAUAAUCACACACACACA